RNAcentral lists this transfer RNA (73 nucleotides) under Gordonia sp. KTR9. RNAcentral describes it as "tRNA-Phe (GAA) (tRNA-Phe-GAA-2-1)". The record is from RNAcentral. Lineage: Bacteria; Bacillati; Actinomycetota; Actinomycetes; Mycobacteriales; Gordoniaceae.
AUCCGACAGGGUGAGGCAACGGAUUGAAAACCCGUCCAGUCCAGUGUCAGUUCGGGUCUGACCGUGGGCACCA